Molecule: ribosomal RNA, 373 nt
Filed under: uncultured Bacteroidota bacterium
Lineage: Bacteria; Pseudomonadati; Bacteroidota
Description: bacterial SSU rRNA
Rfam family: Bacterial small subunit ribosomal RNA
Source: RNAcentral
UAAUACGGAGGGUGCAAGCGUUAUCCGGAAUCAUUGGGUUUAAAGGGUCCGCAGGCGGACAAGCAAGUCAGUGGUGAAAUCCCAUCGCUUAACGAUGGAACUGCCAUUGAAACUGUUUGUCUUGAAUUCGGUCGAAGUGGGCGGAAUGUGUCAUGUAGCGGUGAAAUGCAUAGAUAUGACACAGAACACCGAUAGCGAAGGCAGCUCACUAGGUCUGAAUUGACGCUCAGGGACGAAAGCGUGGGGAGCGAACAGGAUUAGAUACCCUGGUAGUCCACGCCGUAAACUAUGAUUACUCGUUUUCGGCGAUAUACAGUCGGAGACUAAGCGAAAGUGAUAAGUAAUCCACCUGGGGAGUACGAUCGCAAGGUUG